CCUACGGGUGGCAGCAGUGGGGAAUAUUGCACAAUGGGGGAAACCCUGAUGCAGCAACGCCGCGUGAGUGAAGAAGGAUCUCGGUACGUAAAGCUCUAUCCGCAGGGAAGAUAAUGACGAUACCAGCCCAGGAAUCCCCGGCUAAAUACCUGCCAGCAGCCGCGGUAAUACUUAGGGGGCAAGCGUUAUCCGGAUUUACUGGGGGUAAAGGGAGCGUAGGCGGCAGGACAAGUCUGGAGUGAAAUCCCGGGGCUUAACCCCGGAACUGCCUUGGAAACUGUGAGGCGGGAGUGCAGGAGGGGAUAGCGGAAUUCCAAGUGUAGCAGUGAAAUCCGUAGAUAUUAGGAGGAACAUCAGUGGCGAAGGCGGCUAACUGGACUGUAACUGACGCUGAGGCUCGAAAGCGUGGGGAGCAAACAGGAUUAGAUACCCUAGUAGUC
RNAcentral lists this ribosomal RNA (440 nucleotides) under uncultured bacterium. RNAcentral describes it as "partial 16S ribosomal RNA". It matches the Rfam family "Bacterial small subunit ribosomal RNA", at positions 338 to 795 of the family's 1533-position model. The record is from RNAcentral.